RNAcentral lists this ribosomal RNA (506 nucleotides) under uncultured bacterium. Its description in RNAcentral is "partial 16S ribosomal RNA". It matches the Rfam family "Bacterial small subunit ribosomal RNA", at positions 28 to 523 of the family's 1533-position model. The record is from RNAcentral.
GACGAACGCUGGCGGCGUGCCUAAUACAUGCAAGUCGAACGGUAACAGGAAACAGCUUGCUGUUUCGCUGACGAGUGGCGGACGGGUGAGUAAUGUCUGGGAAACUGCCUGAUGGAGGGGGAUAACUACUGGAAACGGUAGCUAAUACCGCAUAACGUCGCAAGACCAAAGAGGGGGACCUUCGGGCCUCUUGCCAUCGGAUGUGCCCAGAUGGGAUUAGCUAGUAGGUGGGGUAACGGCUCACCUAGGCGACGAUCCCUAGCUGGUCUGAGAGGAUGACCAGCCAAACUGGAAAUGAGACACGGUCCAGACUCCUACGGGAGGCAGCAGUGGGGAAUAUUGCACAAGGGGCGCAAGCCUGAUGCAGCCAUGCCGCGUGUAUGAAGAAGGCCUUCGGGUUGUAAAGUACUUUCAGCGGGGAGGAAGGGAGUAAAGUUAAUACCUUUGCUCAUUGACGUUACCCGCAGAAGAAGCACCGGCUAACUCCGUGCCAGCCGCCGCCGUAA